RNAcentral lists this ribosomal RNA (910 nucleotides) under Proteus mirabilis. Its description in RNAcentral is "partial 23S ribosomal RNA". It matches the Rfam family "Bacterial large subunit ribosomal RNA", at positions 1 to 771 of the family's 2925-position model. The record is from RNAcentral. Lineage: Bacteria; Pseudomonadati; Pseudomonadota; Gammaproteobacteria; Enterobacterales; Morganellaceae.
GGGUUGUGAGGUUAAGCGAAUAAGCGUACACGGUGGAUGCCUAGGCAAUCAGAGGCGAUGAAGGACGUGCUAAUCUGCGAAAAGCGUCGGUAAGGUGAUAUGAACCGUUAUACCCGACGAUAUCCGAAUGGGGAAACCCAGUAUCCAAUGGAUACUAUCAUUAACUGAAUCCAUAGGUUAAUGAGGCGAACCGGGAGAACUGAAACAUCUCAGUACCCCGAGGAAAAGAAAUCAACCGAGAUUCCCCUAGUAGCGGCGAGCGAACGGGGAGCAGCCCAGAGUCUUAAUCAAUAGCAGUGUCAGGAGAACGGUCUGGAAAGUCCGGCAGUAAAGGGUGAUAGCCCCGUAUCUGAAGAUGCUGUUAUUGUGAACUCGACGAGUAGGGCGGGACACGUGUUAUCCUGUCUGAAUAUGGGGGGACCAUCCUCCAAGGCUAAAUACUCCUGAUUGACCGAUAGUGAACCAGUACCGUGAGGGAAAGGCGAAAAGAACCCCGGCGAGGGGAGUGAAAAAGAACCUGAAACCGUGUACGUACAAGCAGUAGGAGCCCCAUCACUCAAGUGCCUCGCACUGAGUGAUGCAAUAACAUCACCGAAAAUAGCGCCGAAUUUGCUAACAAGGUUGGUCGAUUUUUUCAAGCCGUCGCGCAGUGUACCUAGAAGUACACGAGCAACGGAAGUUAAAAAAUCGGGCAAGAUUGAACGCAAAGGCAAGCGGGACAUUUGAGGAUGGGGUGACUGCGUACCUUUUGUAUAAUGGGUCAGCGACUUAUAUUCUGUAGCGAGGUUAACCGUAUAGGGGAGCCGUAGGGAAACCGAGUCUUAACUGGGCGAAUGAGUUGCAGGGUAUAGACCCGAAACCCGGUGAUCUAUCCAUGGGCAGGUUGAAGGUUGGGUAACACUAACUGGAG